This is a long non-coding RNA of Mya arenaria, 381 nucleotides long. RefSeq lists it as uncharacterized. The transcript has 3 exons. The record is from RefSeq and is a predicted model, not a curated record. NCBI's taxonomy places the organism in Eukaryota, Metazoa, Mollusca, Bivalvia, Myida, Myidae.
CUUCAAUCUACAAUCAUGAACAAGCUCCUCAUCGUUCUUCUUUUGGUCAGCUGCCUGUCACUGACAUUGCUGCCAGCUUCCGUUGAAGCCCAGGGUUAUCCUUCCUUUGGUGGCCGCCCUGGUGGCCGGUACUGCCAAUGCCGAUACCGUUGUUCCUGGGGUGAGUCCGACAGAGGUCGAUGCGGUGGCUGGAACAACAACCAACGAAACUGUUGCCGGAGAGGCCAUAGAGAUUAGAGGCCAUGGGAUUAGAGGCUUAUAAGGGCAUACAAGACAGAACGAAUUAUCCUUAUACACGAUUUGUGUUUUGUUUGUUGUGAAAAUAAAGUUUCGUUGAAAUAAGUAGUUUGCUAAUUUUGGCUCCAAAUAAGCAUUUCGUGG